This 253-nucleotide ribosomal RNA is filed under the name uncultured bacterium. RNAcentral's name for it is "partial 16S ribosomal RNA". It matches the Rfam family "Bacterial small subunit ribosomal RNA", at positions 524 to 776 of the family's 1533-position model. The record is from RNAcentral.
UACAGAGGUCUCAAGCGUUGUUCGGAUUCAUUGGGCGUAGAGGGUGCGUAGGCGGCGCGGUAAGUCGGGUGUGAAAUCUCGGAGCUUAACUCCGAAACUGCAUUCGAUACUGCCGUGCUUGAGGACUGGAGAGGAGACUGGAAUUUACGGUGUAGCGGUGAAAUGCGUAGAUAUCGUAAGGAAGACCAGUGGCGAAGGCGGGUCUCUGGACAGUUCCUGACGCUGAGGCACGAAGGUCAGGGGAGCAAACGGG